AAUCUUCCACAAUGGGCGAAAGCCUGAUGGAGCAACGCCGCGUGAGUGACGAAGGAUUUCGGUUCGUACAACUCUGCUGUAAGGGACGAACAAGUACAGUAGUAACUGGCUGUACCUUGACGGUACCUUAUUAGAAAGCCACGUCUAACUACGUGCCAGCAGCCGCGGUAAUACGUAGGUGGCAAGCGUUGUCCGGAAUUAUUGGGCGUAAAGCGCGCGAAGGUGGUUUCGUAAGUCUGAGGAGAAAGCCCACGGCUCAACCGUGGAGGGUCAUUGGAAACUGGGAGACUUGAGUGCAGAAGAGGAUAGUGGAAUUCAAAGUGUAGAGGGGAAAUGCGUAGAGAUUUGGAGGAACACCAGUGGCGAAGGCGACUAUCUGGUCUGUAACUGACACUGAGGCGCGAAAGCGUGGGGAGCAAACA
This 422-nucleotide ribosomal RNA is filed under the name uncultured bacterium. RNAcentral's name for it is "partial 16S ribosomal RNA". It matches the Rfam family "Bacterial small subunit ribosomal RNA", at positions 360 to 774 of the family's 1533-position model. The record is from RNAcentral.